RNAcentral lists this non-coding RNA (26 nucleotides) under Mus musculus (house mouse). The record is from RNAcentral. Lineage: Eukaryota; Metazoa; Chordata; Mammalia; Rodentia; Muridae.
GGAUAUUUUGACAUACGUGGUUUGGA